This 220-nucleotide ribosomal RNA is filed under the name uncultured bacterium. RNAcentral's name for it is "partial 16S ribosomal RNA". It matches the Rfam family "Bacterial small subunit ribosomal RNA", at positions 524 to 743 of the family's 1533-position model. The record is from RNAcentral.
UACGUAGGGUGCGAGCGUUAAUCGGAAUUACUGGGCGUAAAGCGUGCGCAGGCGGCUUUGCAAGACAGAUGUGAAAUCCCCGGGCUCAACCUGGGAACUGCAUUUGUGACUGCAAGGCUAGAGUACGGCAGAGGGGGAUGGAAUUCCGCGUGUAGCAGUGAAAUGCGUAGAUAUGCGGAGGAACACCAAUGGCGAAGGCAAUCCCCUGGGCCUGUACUGA